Molecule: ribosomal RNA, 802 nt
Filed under: uncultured Alphaproteobacteria bacterium
Lineage: Bacteria; Pseudomonadati; Pseudomonadota; Alphaproteobacteria
Description: bacterial SSU rRNA
Rfam family: Bacterial small subunit ribosomal RNA
Source: RNAcentral
UGCAAGUCGAACGCAGUAGCAAUACUGAGUGGCAAACGGGUGAGUAUAAUGUGGGAAUCUGCCUUUUGGUCUGGAAUAACACGAGGAAACUUGUGCUAAUACCGGAUAAGCCCUAACGGGGAAAGUUUUAAUGCCGAAAGAUGAGCCCGCACUUGAUUAGCUAGUUGGUAAGGUAAAAGCUUACCAAGGCAACGAUCAAUAGCUGUUCUUAGAGGAAGACCAGCCACAUUGGGACUGAGACACGGCCCAGACUCCUACGGGAGGCAGCAGUGGGGAAUCUUGCACAAUGGGGGAAACCCUGAUGCAGCGAUGCCGCGUGAGUGAAGAAGGCCCUUGGGUUGUAAAACUCUUUCGUCGGGGAAGAAAAUGACUGUACCCGAAUAAGAAGGUCCGGCUAACUUCGUGCCAGCAGCCGCGGUAAUACGAAGGGACCUAGCGUAGUUCGGAAUUACUGGGCUUAAAGAGCUCGUAGGUGGUUAAAAAAGUUGAUGGUGAAAUCCCAAGGCUCAACCUUGGAACUGCCAUCAAAACUUUUUAGCUAGAGUGUGAUAGAGGUAAGUGGAAUUUCUAGUGUAGAGGUGAAAUUCGUAGAUAUUAGAAAGAACACCAAAUGCGAAGGCAACUUACUGGGUCACUACUGACACUGAGGAGCGAAAGCAUGGGUAGCGAAGAGGAUUAGAUACCCUCGUAGUCCAUGCCGUAAACGAUGUGUGCUAGACGUUGGAAAUAUAUUUUUCAGUGUCGCAGCGAAAGCAUUAAGCACACCGCCUGGGGAGUACGACCGCAAGGUUAAAACUCAAAU